CGCUAAGAAGCUAAACUGGUAAUAAGCGUUAGCCUUUUAAGCUAAACUUUGGUGACUACCCACCACCCCUAGCGA
This 75-nucleotide transfer RNA is filed under the name Parascombrops philippinensis (sharptooth seabass). RNAcentral's name for it is "tRNA-Lys". The record is from RNAcentral. Lineage: Eukaryota; Metazoa; Chordata; Actinopteri; Acropomatiformes; Acropomatidae.